Non-coding RNA from Macaca mulatta (Rhesus monkey), 1070 nucleotides. The record is from RefSeq and is a predicted model, not a curated record. NCBI's taxonomy places the organism in Eukaryota, Metazoa, Chordata, Mammalia, Primates, Cercopithecidae.
GUUCCCCAGCUCUGUGACAUCACAGACAGCCUUCUCUCCACUCUGCCAGCUGCAGGAAACAGCCCAGCCCAGUGAAUUGGGCUCAAACUCAAGAUUGGCUGAUUCAACAAGGCACCCCUGCAGACAAAGCUGGCAGAGUAGAGAUUUCAACUCCUUUCCAUGGCAGCCCACCAAAACCUGAUCUCGAAGAUCUUCUGUUUAUGCUGCAGGGACUGUCAGGAGCCCUAUGCCAUCGAUGACUCCAAGGUUCCCAGUCAAACCCAAGAGCACAAGCCAUCGACCCAAAAUUUGCAGCUUCAGAAGGAUGAGCUUGACAGACAAAAUCCCAAGCGCAUUAACGCAGCCUCCCAUUUGCCUUCGAGAACACCCCUGAUCCAGCCAAAAAAGAGCACUUCCUCCAGCAGCAGUGAGUUUGAAGAUCCAGCCAGGUGCAUGGCAAGUAAACAAUGCCAGAAAACACUUGUGGAUUGAAUGUAGUUCAACUGGGGGUGAAAUGCGUCCGGGUCAUGGAAGAACAGAUGCCCAAUCCCGGGACAGGGGCACAGCCCAGGAAGAAGAAAUGCAGCCACAUUGCUGGCCAACAAUUCUAUGCCCAGGUGGUCUCACAUAACUCACAACCAACCCAGGAGUCCUGCUGAGAACUAAGGAUUAUCCAACCCAGUCAUUUUGAAACCCCCUUGAAAACAACAUUUCACAGAGUCCAAUUUUUAUAAAAGACCAAAGAGGAACAGCUCUGCUUGAAUCAAGCCUGAGAAGAUCUGAAUGCAUAUGCUUCCCAAAGAAAUUUUUACAAGAGAAACUUAAACCGCUACCGCCAGGAGCGCUGGCCAUUCCAGCCGUGCCUCAUUGGGAGGCCAUGAGCAUUCUAGCCGGCAGCUGCACAGCUGCUGGGGCGCCUCCACGAGGAAGAGGGCGGUGGACAGGAGUCAUGAAGAUGAAUUUGGAAACUCCCCUGAAGGAGGAGAAGACGUCUGAACCAUCCUUGGGCCACCAAGCAAGAGUCACCCCAGCUCCUGAAAAAGCCCCCAUGGAAAGAGCUGCCUCCAAUUAAAGUUCUUGAUUGCACCAGA